This 248-nucleotide ribosomal RNA is filed under the name uncultured bacterium. Its description in RNAcentral is "partial 16S ribosomal RNA". It matches the Rfam family "Bacterial small subunit ribosomal RNA", at positions 104 to 353 of the family's 1533-position model. The record is from RNAcentral.
GGGUGAGUAAUGUCUGGGAAACUGCCUGAUGGAGGGGGAUAACUACUGGAAACGGUAGCUAAUACCGCAUAACGUCGCAAGACCAAAGAGGGGGACCUUCGGACCUCUUGCCAUCAGAUGUGCCCAGAUGGGAUUAGCUAGUAGGUGGGGUAACGGCUCACCUAGGCGACGAUCCCUAGCUGGUCUGAGAGGAUGACCAGCCACACUGGAACUGAGACACGGUCCAGACUCCUACGGGAGGCAGCAUG